CCCUGGAACGAUACAAAGAAGAUUAGCAUGGCCCUUGCGCAAGGAUGACACACACAAAUCGAGAAAUGGUCCAAAUUUUA
This 80-nucleotide small nuclear RNA is filed under the name Triticum aestivum (bread wheat). Lineage: Eukaryota; Viridiplantae; Streptophyta; Magnoliopsida; Poales; Poaceae. The record is from RNAcentral.